Molecule: ribosomal RNA, 255 nt
Filed under: uncultured bacterium
Lineage: Bacteria
Description: partial 16S ribosomal RNA
Rfam family: Bacterial small subunit ribosomal RNA
Source: RNAcentral
UGGCGGACGGGUGAGUAAUGUCUGGGAAACUGCCUGAUGGAGGGGGAUAACUACUGGAAACGGUAGCUAAUACCGCAUAAUGUCGCAAGACCAAAGAGGGGGACCUUCGGGCCUCUUGCCAUCGGAUGUGCCCAGAUGGGAUUAGCUUGUUGGUGGGGUAACGGCUCACCAAGGCGACGAUCCCUAGCUGGUCUGAGAGGAUGACCAGCCACACUGGAACUGAGACACGGUCCAGACUCCUACGGGAGGCAGCAU